RNAcentral lists this transfer RNA (77 nucleotides) under Pseudomonas viridiflava. Its description in RNAcentral is "tRNA-Thr". It matches the Rfam family "tRNA". Rfam says of the family: Transfer RNA (tRNA) molecules are approximately 80 nucleotides in length. Their secondary structure includes four short double-helical elements and three loops (D, anti-codon, and T loops). Lineage: Bacteria; Pseudomonadati; Pseudomonadota; Gammaproteobacteria; Pseudomonadales; Pseudomonadaceae. RNAcentral also lists the same sequence under 1 other name. The record is from RNAcentral.
GCCGAGAUAGCUCAGCCCGGUAGAGCAGCGCACUCGUAACGCGAAGGUCGCAGGUUCGAUUCCUGUUUUCGGCACCA